Misgurnus anguillicaudatus (oriental weatherfish) is the source of this 3044-nucleotide non-coding RNA. The record is from RefSeq and is a predicted model, not a curated record. NCBI's taxonomy places the organism in Eukaryota, Metazoa, Chordata, Actinopteri, Cypriniformes, Cobitidae.
GUGUGCAGUUCGUGUCCGCAUCAUCAUACGCGCCAGUAUCGCUGGAAGACUGCACGAACAGAAACCCCUGUAAAGGGUCCGAUGUCACGAUAUGGCGCUUUUCCAAUGUAGGGUACAACUUGGCUCGGUACGAUGCAGCUCAGCUCGCUUUCGUUGCUUUUCCAGUACAGUUUAGUAUCGCUUCAGAGUGGGUGAGAUUAUAGGCAGGGGUGCACAUAACUGGUGCGUAUGUGCAAAUAGAAACAAUUCUAGCGUACCAGCGUUGCUGGAAUUUUGUUACAUAGUUAGCUAAUUUACUUCGACAUAAGGGAUUUCUAUCAGUGGUAAGAUAUUUAAUGUGUGUUGUUAGCAGUGAUCCGCAUCUCAAUGCUUCAGACAGCUUGCUAGUACAAGUAUACAUUUAUAUGAGUUAGGCUAGUAUUUAUUUAUAAAGAUUACAUAAGUAAAAAACUAUAACUUAAAGGCUUAUUUUAUGUACAUCAUUGUCUACCAUGUUUAAACAAAAUAGAUAUGGCAAAGAGAGUAGUCAGGAGAAAAGUGAUGAUGUCAGCAUGUAGGAUGUCUGUGCUAUGAAUAGUGUGAGUACCAAGUAACAUCUCCAGGUGCUACUUUGAGAACCAGGACAAAAAAAGUUAUGUGCACCCCUGAUUAUAGGCUUAUUGUUACAGUUGCGUCCCCUCUACUGCCGUAACAUCAUCGUAAAUGCGAUACAAACACACACACACACACACACACACACACACACACACAACAUGGAGCAACAGAGCAUAUUAAUGGAAUGCAGCCACAAAAUCAAAAUUGACACCCACAAGUAGAUUUUCCACUACCUCUCUCACAUGACAGGUUCUGUACAAACACCCGUGUCAUCGGUAUGUGCACUCCGCUGACAGAACAUUUAUGCCUAUACUUUUGGUGCGUUUUGAAUGCGGAGCCAUGCGCAAAGUUACAAAAUGCCAUGCAGACAUGGGUGCAGUGGUGUGCUCUGCAUUUUUGUAAAUUUGCACAUGGCUUCGCAUCCGAAACCCAUUACCCCUCUCACAAAAGUCAGCUGUGCUGAACUGGGUCAUACUAUGCAAUGGAAAAGCAUCAAAAGUGUCCUACUUCCUGGCUUGAAGGAUUUAGGUAAGCAAAUUUAUCUGACAUACCAAAACCUAAAAGUUAUAAAAAAAGUUUUAAUUCUUUCUUGCAGUGUAAACAACGGCAUUUUGAUCUUAACAUUUAUUCACAUUUAAUGAGAUAUGGAGAUUUUUAUCUUUUACAGAUGAAGACAUACAUUUGAGUGAGACGUUUUUAUGUCCAUACACUGCGGGCCACCAUACAUGAAAGUCACCAUCAUGUUUCUACAGUAGCCCUAAAUGGACAAACUGUUCUACAGAGCGUGUUUCGUCCAUAUGUUGUCUCAAGGGCUCAUUAUAGCAAACAUACAUGUAGACCACUGGUAGGCAGUAUCCACGCGUGUAACCACAGAAGCAGCUUGGCCAGUUUAACUCACAAACGAAGAAACCGCAGAUUGUUGUGUAUGUUUUAAGAAGACCAACAGAAGUGGCGGCCGAUGACUUCUUUUUUUGAGGGCGCUUGAUGCGAAGUUCAUCACAACAUGUAUGUAGCCCGUCAUGUGUGUGGUUCCUUUUUUCAAAAUAUGUGUUCAGCGCUUUGAGAGAUCCUGUGUGCAUCACAUGUCUUGUCAAAAUAAGUGCCUGUUGUAGAUGCGUUUAAAGGGUUUAGGAUAAAAGAGACGCUCGGGUUUGCCAGAUACUCGCAUAAUCUCAUGUGUAAUCAAAGUUUACUGUUAAGGGAGUGUCUUGUGUGAACGUGAGCGUCUCUUUUAUCAUAAACGGUUUUGACGCAUGUGCAGCAGGCACUUAUUUUGACAAAACACGUGAUGCACACAGGAUCUCUCGACACGCAGGACACAUAUUUUGCAAGAGGGGACCACACACAUGAUACUCCGAACACUUAUUUUGAAUUAGCGCCCCUCGGAUGAGGAGUCACGAGCGCCACUGACCAGCAUUGUUCGAAGUAAAUAAACAGCGACUCGUUGCAGCAGUUUGAGUUAAGUCAUUCCUCAACUUGGCCUAUUUUUGUUCUCACCGUCGCAAAUAGAAAUGGCUAUGACGCAGUUUUUUUACCUGAUGGGAGGGGUUCUAGUGGACCAAUAACAGCGCUUGUGGUCCGCGUAGAACUGACACGCUGUUAAAAAUCAGGCUACGCUCAGGCUAUGGAUAACCUACGAUGUAGACCUUACGCACGACUAUAACAUGGGCUUCAGACGAUGACAUUUUUGUCCGGUGGCAGCUACCAUAGAAUCUCAUUGUGUUUCAAAAUUGAGGUUGCUUUCUAUUUACAAUUUCACCGCUAGAUGCCACAACAAAAUAUAAUACACCUGUAACAGAUAUAACUUUUGAAUUGAAAUAUGGUUUAGCAAAUGCUGAAAUUAACAUGAGUUUUUGUGUCAAAGUAUUGUUUAUUGUUAGUUCAUUGUGGCAAAUGCUAACAAAUACAAGCUUAUUGUAAAGUGUUAUCUUUGCAAUUUAAUACUAAACUUAAAAAUUUGUAAUUUCAGAGGGGUUGAAGGUUACAAUGUUUUGAGCUCAUUUGUUAACAGUAAACAAUAUAAUAAUAUUGGGCUUGUUUUUGAAGCUGCGGUUACUUUUUUGUCUCACAAGAGCUGGCAACACUGAAGACAGUUUAGUAAGAAACCGUAUAGAAAAAAGAAAAAUAAUAGAAAAAAAGGAAAAUUAUGAAAUUACAAAGUACACCUUAUUUUGCAGUUUAACCAACACUUUGACAGUUUAAAUGAUGGGUGUAGAAUGUGAGAAAUUGUUCAAGUUUACAUGAGGAUGUAUGUCUUACCUGUAUCUUUUUUAUUGUUCUUUUCCAGCAGUUUCAGCGUUGGACUUGUGUUCCGCGUGUUUGGCCUCUUUAGCACUUGCUGUUUGAAAGUCAUUCCUUGCAACAGAUUGAGUGACUGUCAUUCUGCAUUUCUGUUUGCAUUGCUUUGCUUGCAUUUGAAUCCUUUGCAAUAAUAAAAGUUUUACAUUUGA